Molecule: unclassified non-coding RNA, 246 nt
Filed under: Hevea brasiliensis (rubber tree)
Lineage: Eukaryota; Viridiplantae; Streptophyta; Magnoliopsida; Malpighiales; Euphorbiaceae
Source: RNAcentral
UACUGAUUUUUCUUGUUUUUAGAUGGCCCAGCUAAAACCCAUUAUAGAACUAACAAUUGAUUUGUUUUUUUUAAAGGUGAUCUUUCUUUUUUCAUUUUUUUUUCAUUUCAAUCAGGGAUAAAGGUAACAUCCCCAUCCUCCCCUUUCCCUGUGGGCUGAGGAUUGGUCCAUGAUAACCUGCAAAAGAUAGUUAUAAUGCCAAAAUUCAAUCAUCUCAUCAAACUAUAUAGCUGUUAGUUAGAACAG